CCUACGGGAGGCAGCAGUGGGGAAUAUUGCACAAUGGGGGGAACCCUGAUGCAGCAACGCCGCGUGGGUGAAGAAGUACUUCGGUAUGUAAAGCCCUGUCAGCAGGGAAGAAAAUGACGGUACCUGACCAAGAAGCCCCGGCUAACUACGUGCCAGCAGCCGCGGUAAUACGUAGGGGGCAAGCGUUAUCCGGAUUUCCUGGGUGUAAAGGGAGCGUAGACGGCAAGGCAAGUCUGGAGUGAAAGCCCGUGGCUCAACCACGGGACUGCCUUGGAAACUGUGUUGCUGGAGUGCAGGAGGGGUAAGCGGAAUUCCUAGUGUAGCGGUGAAAUGCGUAGAUAUUAGGAGGAACACCGGUGGCGAAGGCGGCUUACUGGACUGUAACUGACGUUGAGGCUCGAAGGCGUGGGGAGCAAACAGGAUUAGAUACCCCAGUAGUC
RNAcentral lists this ribosomal RNA (440 nucleotides) under uncultured bacterium. RNAcentral describes it as "partial 16S ribosomal RNA". It matches the Rfam family "Bacterial small subunit ribosomal RNA", at positions 338 to 795 of the family's 1533-position model. The record is from RNAcentral.